AACUCUGGCUCAGAGGCGGAUGAUGAAACCCAGCUCACCUUUUACACCGAGCAGUACCGGAGCAGGAGGCGAAGCAAAGGUUCGAUGAAAAGCCCUGUCAACAAGACAGCCCUGACUCUGAUUGCCGUCAGCUCCUGCAUCCUGGCCAUGGUGUGUGGCUCUCAGCUCUCCUGCCCGCUGACUGUCAAGGUGACGCUUCAUGUCCCCGAGCACUUCAUUGCUGAUGGCAGCAGCUUUGUUGUGAGCGAAGGGAGCUACCUGGACAUCUCCGACUGGCUGAACCCAGCCAAGCUGUCCCUUUAUUAUCAGAUCAAUGCCACCUCUCCCUGGGUGAGAGAUCUCUGUGGCCAGAGGACCACCGAUGCCUGUGAACAGCUGUGUGACCAAGAGACAGGGGAGUGCAGCUGUCAUGAAGGCUAUGCCCCGGACCCCAUGCAUCGCCACCUGUGUGUGCGCACUGAUUGGGGACACAGUGAAGGGCCAUGGCCCUACACCACACUUGAGAGAGGAUACGACUUGGUCACAGGAGAGCAGGCACCGGAGAAGAUACUCAGGUCCACCUAUAGUCUGGGACAAGGCCUGUGGCUGCCUGUCAGUAAGAGCUUCGUGGUGCCCCCCGUGGAGCUCUCUAUCAAUCCUCUUGCCAGCUGCAAGACAGAUGUUCUGGUGACGGAAGAUCCGGCAGAUGUCAGGGAAGAAGCAAUGCUGUCCACCUACUUUGAAACCAUCAAUGAUUUGCUCUCCUCUUUCGGGCCGGUCCGGGAUUGCUCCCGCAACAACGGCGGCUGCACCCGCAACUUCAAGUGCGUUUCGGAUCGCCAGGUGGAUUCAACGGGCUGCGUGUGCCCUGAGGACCUCCGGCCCAUGAAGGAUGGCACCGGCUGCUAUGAUUACUCCAAAGGCAUCGACUGCUCAGAUGGCUUCAACGGCGGCUGCGAGCAGCUCUGCCUGCAGCAGACCCUCCCCCUGCCCCACGACCCCUCCUCCAGCACCAUCUUCAUGUUCUGCGGGUGUGUGGAAGAGUACAAGCUGGCCCCUGAUGGCAAGUCCUGCCUCAUGCUGUCCGACAUCUGCGAGGGCCCCAAGUGCCUGAAGUCGGAUGCCAAGUUCAACGACACACUCUUUGGGGAGAUGCUGCACGGCUACAACAACAGGAGUCAACACGUCAACCAGGGCCAGGUGUUCCAGAUGACUUUCAGGGAGAACAACUUCAUCAAGGACUUCCCGCAGCUGGCUGAUGGGCUGCUGGUCAUCCCGCUGCCCGUGGAGGAGCAGUGCCGUGGAGUGCUGUCUGAGCCCCUGCCCGACCUCCAGCUUCUCACUGGAGACAUCAAGUAUGACGAGGCGAUGGGUUACCCCAUGGUGCAGCACUGGCGGGUCAGGAGCAACCUGUACCGCGUGAAGCUCAGCUCCAUCACCCUCUCUUCAGGCUUCGCCAACAUCCUGAAGAUCCUGAACAAAGACAGCAGCCGGGAGGAGCUGCUCUCCUUCAUCCAGCAGUUUGGCUCCCACUACAUCGCUGAGGCUCUGUACGGCUCCGAGUUCAGCUGCACCAUCCACUUCCCCAGCAAGAAGGUGCAGCAGCAGCUGUGGCUCCAGUACCAGAAAGAAACAACUGAGCUGGGGAACAAAAAGGAAUUGAAAUCCAUGCCGUUCAUCACCUAUCUCUCGGGCUUGCUGACAGCACAGAUGCUUUCUGACGACCACCUCAUCUCAGGUGUGGAGAUCCACUGUGAGGAGAAAGGGCGCUGCCCAUCCACGUGCCACUUGUGCCGGCGCCCAGGCAAGGAGCAGCUCAGCCCCACGCCGGUCCUGCUGGAGAUCAACCGUGUGGUGCCCCUGUAUGCCCUGAUCCAGGACAACGACACCAGGGAGGCUUUCAGAGGCGCGCUGAUGAGCUCAUAUUGGUGCUCUGGGAAAGGCGACGUGAUCGAAGACUGGUGCAGGUGUGACCUCAACGCCUUCGACGAGAACGGGCUCCCGAACUGCAGCCCCCUCCCUCAGCCUGUCCUGCGGCUGUCCCCCAGUGUGGAGCCCUCCAGCACUGUGGUCUCCCUGGAGUGGCUGGACGUGCAGCCUGCCAUUGGGACGAAGGUGUCUGACUACGUCCUGCACCACAAGAAGGUGGACGAGUACACAGACACAGACCUCUACACAGGAGAAUCUUUAAGCUUUGCAGAUGAUUUGCUUUCUGGCCUUGCAACGUCCUGUGUGGCAGCGGGUCGGAGCCAUGGAGAUGUCCCUGAAACCAGCCUCUACUCAGUUAUUUUCAAGUGCCUGGAACCAGAUGGUCUCUACAAGUUCACUCUGUAUGCGGUGGACACACGAGGGAGACACUCUGAGCUGAGCACGGUCACCCUGAGGACAGCCUGCCCACUGGUAGAUGACAGCAAGGCAGAAGAGAUAGCUGACAAAAUCUACAACCUCUACAAUGGCUACACCAGUGGGAAGGAGCAGCAGACAGCCUACAACACGCUGAUGGAGGUCUCUGCUUCCAUGCUGUUCCGAGUCCAGCACCACUACAACUCCCACUAUGAGAAGUUUGGAGACUUUGUCUGGCGUAGUGAGGACGAGCUGGGGCCCAGGUACCCACCUUUAUCCUGCAUCCUCCCAGCCCUGCUGCCUUCUCACAGCUGAGAGAAGUUCUCUCCUGUUAUUUGCCAUCCAAUGGUGUUGACCAGUCCCUGCUUGGUCUUUGAUAAAUGCUUGUGGGACAGCUGAAGUGGGUGGUGCUGCAGGGUACUGGGAACACUGUGGAGGAGACCAGAAGGUCUUAAUCAAGGACAGUGCAUGGUCUGUGUGUAAGCCAGCACUUGGAUGUUAUCAGAGAGGAUCAACAACGAAGCAAAAUUCUAAGGAGUAAAAUUGUCUCUACUACGUAGUAUUUUUCAUGGACUUUCCCUUCUGCUGAUUUCUCUCUCUAUUGGACCUGGCACAUCUUCAUCCUUGCUGUGCCAUAUGGUUGCUGUACAAGCUGUAAAUAUUUCCAAAGAUCCCUUUUCCAUCUUCACUCUCCCAUAACAAUAAUUCAAUUCAUUGAUGCAGGUGCUAAGAAGAUUGUCCUUAAUUUCAUUGCUGUGGUGUCCCUGGUAUCAUGCAAGCAGUGUUUGGGAGGUCAUAGCCCUGUGGACAAGUUACAAUCUCUUACAGAAUUCAAGUAGCCUUGAAGCUUUUGUAGACACUGCUCUUGAAUCACCCUUAUCUAACUUUGGAUGGGAGCCUAGGGAGUCUGAUCUGGUGCUGAAUUUAGUGGUUGGCAACUACUGGAACUAGGUCCCUUCCAACCCAAGCCAUUAUAUGAUUCUUUGUUGUUAAACUGGAGCAGGGAAGGAUGGAGGAGCAUGGUUGGGCUGUCUGUGAAUAAGAAUUUCCUUCUUUCUCCUCGACUCCUGUCUGCUUGUUGGACACGAGCGAGGAUCUGUCCAUAAUACCAGGAUGACAGCACUUCACAACAGCUUCUCCUCUCCCAGACAUAAAUCCAGGCUGGCCUGGUGCUUGCCCUCCCACAGAAACGACCUUGGUCAUAAUUUCUUUGAUAGUUCAUUAGCGCCUGACGCUGAGCCAUUCUUCCUUCCCACCGCCUUCCUCCUUCUCUGAUGACACUGCAGACUUGUUUGUCCUUUCCAACUGCUCCUCUCUCUCUGAGCCCCUGGGGUCCAUCAGCCUCUUCUUACACUCUUCUUACUCUUCUUAUUUCCCUUGUCACUUGAGAUCCAACUUAUUGCAGCAUGUUAGCUACCCUGAUACCUGCACUGAGCCGCCAGAUUUGCAAGGUGACAUUUAAAUAACCCGCAUUGUUACACUCCAUACCAAGCUUCAUCUGGAGCCAGUGGUCGAUUCGGCUGCUGUCUGCCUUCCUCGCCAGGCAGAUGAUCCCUUGCAGAGCUCAUGUGCCCCCACUCCAUGAUUGAGCAGUGUGUGACCUGCAGCCAAGGGGAAAUGCAGCAGCACUCGAUGCCAGACUGACAAGAGCAGAGCUCUGCAUCCCGCCCAGCAUCGCCGGGAGCUGGGACAGAAGCGGAGGCACUGACGUAGGGAGGAUUUGCCAAGGGAGGCCAUCUCGUAACGCGAUUUUAAUUGACGGGCUGUUCUCCUUCCCAGAGGAACAUUCAUUUUCAUACCUUGAAAUGUUUAUCAGAUGAGCCUCAGAUUCGCAGUAAAUGUUCGCUCAUAAAACUGAGCGACAAGAGGGAAGUUGAUUGCCUCCGUGUAAUAAAUACAUCACACUGGAGUCCUCGUGAGCCCAGUUUCCAUGAAAGCCACAGGUUACUGCAAACAGCUGCUCGCGAGAAGACACGCUGACAGCCAGAUGUCCCAACCAGACGGUUUACAUUAAGGAGACAUUAAAAACUUAGCUCAUAGGUGGCCCUAAACCAGGACUUUCUGUGGUCAGCAGCAUCUUGGCACCUGGCUUGCUUCAUCCUGCUCGUCUCCUUCAGCAACAACAACCCCUUUCCUGCUCCCCCCAUUCCUCCUACAAACACCAAAUGAGUCUCGCAGAGUUAAUUUGUUCCAACAAAACAGAAGAAUCUGUCUAAAGCAGUGAAGGUUUAAUGCUACUGUGUGUUCAGACCUUUGGAUCGGUGCAGCAAGAGCGCUUCCUGACAUGGCAACAGGGAGAUUUCUUUAUUAUUUUCUCAUACUGUAUUUUUGGACAGUCCCUGUGACCACUGCAAACAGAGCCUGGCUUUUAGGAGGAGGCGGGAGAAAGAAUUAGGUUAAAAUCUUCCUUCUGUGCCCCAGCCUGCGGCUACCAGGAACAGCAAGGUCAGGAUGUGGGGCUCACAGCUCUCCUUCCCUCAGGCAGGUCCCCAGGCAGCAGCCGGGGCGGCCUCAUGAGAUCAGUGCAUCCCCAGAGCAGCUGCCUUCUGGUACUGAGGGGAAUGCAAUGUACUGAUGGGAGGCUGUGAUAAGAGGCCAUCGAGUCCCGGACUCAUUAUCCUCUCAGAUGAGGGUCUGACAGACCUGGGUCAGUUCUCAGUAGAGUGGAAAAAUCUGAAUCGAUGACAAAAUCGUCCCAUAUGGGAACAGACAGGCAGCCAGCCUCUCCUGCAGCAGACCAAGGAAGCUUGUCCUCCCUCUCACUUGGCACCUUCCUUGGCAGUCCCCCCUUCCCCUCCUCACCCCACACCAAGAGGGGAGCAGCCAUGCAAGGUCAUCACUAUUUGAAUCCCUCUCUCCACCAUUUAUGAUGUGGGUGAUGACCUCCUAAAUCCAUCACUCAAGAACUGGUCCCCGGGGACACCCAGAGUGGGGACACCCUGCAGUGGAGCUGGGCUACGGGGGAGCAAAAAGGGGCUGCUUCAUCCCUUGGAGGGCUGGGAGCUGGCCGUGAAAAUGACCCCCGCCUCGCUCCCCUGCUGUCCUCUCUUGAUUCCUGCCCUUUAAUAAGGAAGGCACACCUGAUCCUGCGGAGGCUGGAGAAAGUCAGCAGUCACUGCUCAACACUGCUCCGCAGCUCCUACAUCCAGAGCCGCAC
This is a non-coding RNA of Phasianus colchicus (ring-necked pheasant), 5479 nucleotides long. The record is from RefSeq and is a predicted model, not a curated record. Lineage: Eukaryota; Metazoa; Chordata; Aves; Galliformes; Phasianidae.